GAUGAACGCUGGCGGCGUGCCUAAUACAUGCAAGUCGAGCGAACGGACGAGAAGCUUGCUUCUCUGAUGUUAGCGGCGGACGGGUGAGUAACACGUGGAUAACCUACCUAUAAGACUGGGAUAACUUCGGGAAACCGUAGCUAAUACCGGAUAAUAUUUUGAACCGCAUGGUUCAAAAGUGAAAGACGGUCUUGCUGUCACUUAUAGAUGGAUCCGCGCUGCAUUAGCUAGUUGGUAAGGUAACGGCUUACCAAGGCAACGAUGCAUAGCCGACCUGAGAGGGUGAUCGGCCACACUGGAACUGAGACACGGUCCAGACUCCUACGGGAGGCAGCAGUAGGGAAUCUUGCGCAAAGGGCGAAAGCCUGACGGAGCAACGCCGCGUGAGUGAUGAAGGUCUUCGGAUCGUAAAACUCUGUUAUUAGGGAAGAACAGAUGUGUAAGUAACUGUGCACAUCUUGACGGUACCUAAUCAGAAAGCCACGGCUAACUACGUG
RNAcentral lists this ribosomal RNA (497 nucleotides) under uncultured bacterium. Its description in RNAcentral is "partial 16S ribosomal RNA". It matches the Rfam family "Bacterial small subunit ribosomal RNA", at positions 28 to 507 of the family's 1533-position model. The record is from RNAcentral.